Molecule: long non-coding RNA, 439 nt
Organism: Tupaia belangeri chinensis (Chinese tree shrew)
Lineage: Eukaryota; Metazoa; Chordata; Mammalia; Scandentia; Tupaiidae
Exons: 2
Source: RefSeq, a predicted model, not a curated record
CUGUGGGCAGGCCGGGGCGGACUGGGACUUGGUCUGUGGGAGGGGCUGGCUCUAGACCAAGGUCCCCAAGCCGGGCAGCCCUCCCAGGGGAGCGUGGAGCUGGUGUGGAGCAGGAGACAGCAGGCACGGGCUGAGCAGGGAGUGGGUCUGAGCCCUGGCCUCCCCUGUGUUCUUGGGGAGCAGGGCCGCAGUUUCUCCACCUGCAUGGCAUAGUACCCACCUCCGUCCACUGAUCUGCACCCUUCUUCUUCCCAGGAGAACGUGGAGGGCCGGCAGGAGGUUGCUGCCCAUCCUUCCGUGACCUCUGAGGUGGAGAACAAGGAGGAAAGGCUGGGGAGCUGGCUCCUGAGGAAGCUCUGGCUGGGCAGGUUCCCAGCCUCAGACACCCCGAAGACUCAGAGCCGAAAGUGACAAGUAUACAAUAAAUUCGGGGUGCUGC